Molecule: long non-coding RNA, 616 nt
Organism: Bacillus rossius redtenbacheri
Lineage: Eukaryota; Metazoa; Arthropoda; Insecta; Phasmatodea; Bacillidae
Exons: 2
Source: RefSeq, a predicted model, not a curated record
UUUUGACAGUGAGUUUUCUCCUUGGAUAACUUUUGAAUGAUGCAGUAUGAAAAAUUAGUUUAUCUGUGCUGAUUUUGAGCUGAGAUGGCACGAAAAUACAAGGCUCGCUUGGGCCACAGAAGCUAUGGAAAUUAUUCAACAGAAACACUGGAAAAGUGCCUGGAUGAUGUCGAGUCUGGUAGACUAAGCCAAAGAAAAGCUUCAGAUAAAUACAACAUUAUCAAAUUUGUAUGCUUGCCUCCCAAUUCCACCCACCUGACUCAACCUUUGGACUUGGCAUUUUUUUCUCCAUUGAAACGUGCUUGGCAUUUGACGUUAUCCAAGUGGUGUGACACUGCAGAUGGAUCAAAAUAUCCUUCCAUUCCAAAAGAGAAAAUUACAGUUUUGCUAAAGCAACGGCACAGGUGGCAAUCAAUAUGUCGGGGUGGUUGGAGUCUGCACUGCUGAACUUGCCUGCCCAACACUGCAUGGGGGCGCAUUCAGGCCGCACAUGCUCUAGCAAGAUGGGAUAUGCCAUGGCGGUCUAUGCAGACCAGAGGAGCACCGACAGUUGGUGUUAAUGUACUAAUACGUUAUGACUUUUCUCAUUUAGCAAUAAACAUGUUUUCAUUGGAGA